AGGAAUAUGGUGAAAGAGGUAGACACGUUUGAUUUAGAAUUAAAUUUUAUAUAGGUUCAAAUCCUAUUAUUCUUA
This 75-nucleotide transfer RNA is filed under the name Ectyoplasia ferox (brown encrusting octopus sponge). RNAcentral's name for it is "tRNA-Leu". It matches the Rfam family "tRNA". Rfam says of the family: Transfer RNA (tRNA) molecules are approximately 80 nucleotides in length. Their secondary structure includes four short double-helical elements and three loops (D, anti-codon, and T loops). Further hydrogen bonds mediate the characteristic L-shaped molecular structure. tRNAs have two regions of fundamental functional importance: the anti-codon, which is responsible for specific mRNA codon recognition, and the 3' end, to which the tRNAs corresponding amino acid is attached (by aminoacyl-tRNA synthetases). tRNAs cope with the degeneracy of the genetic code in two manners: having more than one tRNA (with a specific anti-codon) for a particular amino acid; and 'wobble' base-pairing, i.e. permitting non-standard base-pairing at the 3rd anti-codon position. Lineage: Eukaryota; Metazoa; Porifera; Demospongiae; Axinellida; Raspailiidae. The record is from RNAcentral.